UCCACAGGUGGAGGUAAGGCGCCAGGUAAAAACGCCAUGUACAUUGUACCCUGCUUUUGAGUAAUACAAACACAGUGGGAGCCUCUCCCACUGUCCAAUUCCUCAAAAAAAAAAUGACGCGAUAGUUGGAAAAUAGUUCAAGUGUUUUCUACUUCACCUCCCAUGUUUUCCUCUCCAAAAUCUGGUGUGGGUUUAGGGUUAUAUGAUUUGGGUAGCAUAUAAAAUCCUGUAGAAUUAGUUGUUUUACUGACUAGGCGAUGAUCAUUUCAAACACUGCAAAGUUAUGCAGUGAAACGUCCAUAUCAGUCCAGCCGGUUCCACAAUUCUAAGCCUGAGGCAGUUGCAGCUGCAUCAGGUUGUUGUGCUGGUUGUUCUGUACGUAUUGUAAUGAUGUAGAACUUGUGACUAUGUUCGCCGAGCUGGGUGCUUUGGUGUCUGGUUGCAUCAGCUUCCCCACCCACGCCCACGACAGCACGCGACCGUCCCUCCUCCUCCUCGACCUCCCUCCUAGCUGCUGCCGCCGCCUCCCCCCUUCCCCCUCUCUCUUUCCCAUGCCGCCGCCUCUCCUCCUCCUCCUCCCCACGCUAGACCCUCCACCUUCCAUCCCUAGCUCCCCUUCCCCCGAUCCCCAUGGUGCUAGAGAGAAAAAGGCAGGCAACGCGGGCAGCGGCAGCGACAGAAAAAGAGGAGCGAGACCGUGUCUUCUCCACGCACGUGCUUUGUAAUAGAUUUCAUAGGUCUGCUCUGUACCAAGAAAUACCUGCAGGUUUUAAUAUUCCUAUGUGCAUUAACCUCAGUCACAUAUUGCACAUGGAUGUUAGUGAUUUCCUUUCUCGGCAGUUAUCAUUUUGACAUUAUGUCCUUCAUAGCUUGAUUAAAGGUCUAGAGAAGCAAGGUUUAUUUCUACACUAUAUUAUGCUUGUUGUGUAUUGAGAAAGAACGCAUUGUUUGUGACAUUUAUUUCGGAUGCUUUCUAUACAACGCUCUUGAUUCUUUAUGAUCAGUGUCCUUGAUAAUUUUUUUCCUUCUUGUUUCUUUCCGACAUGUACAAGGGGCUCAUUGGUCGCUUGGCCUGCUUUUGGUAUAUCAAUGAGAAUAUCCCUGACAUAAAUUCGUUUAGUGACAGUCUUGGAGAGAAAUUUACUAUUGUCGAUGCAUACACUCAUCCGGGGUAGAAUCUGAUCUCGAGUAAGCAUUGUGCUCCACCAGAAGAAAAAACUAUGGAGCAUCUGGAUGUCUUAAUCCUAACAUUCGGUAGGUUGUUGAGUGUUUGCUUGCUUAUUUCUUUAUUUUGCAUUGCUAUUGACGUGUGUCCAUAGGCGCUGGUUGUUUCUCGAUUUCACAUUUCAUAGGGAGUGCACUUUGUUUGAUGCCUUGAAAGAGCAGUAUAUUGGGCAUCAUGAGAUAGUCAUCCAGAGUUUGGUCAGAUUUGAACUGAUUUGGCUUACAAUUUGUAAUUUUGCAAUCAGCUUUCCUACAAGGUACUUUCAGAUCUUCAUUCGAGUUAUUAUACAUGAUCGUUAAAAAUCCCUCGAAAAUGAACUCCAUUGCUGUAAUUGAAAAUUUAAAAGCACAAGAUUUAAUGGCUUGUGUGGUCAUACAUAUUGAUGCUUAUUUAUUUUUAGUAGACCCUUUAAAGGAAUAAGAUCAUCGUUUAGUAUGCAAGCAGCUAUAUUUCCUUACCAUUUGUUCAUGUUUUGCUUUCUAGAAGGCAAAUUUUAUACACAAGGCGUUGGUUAUACUGAGGUCUGCGUCUAAUCAUUAGGCAGCAAUGUCUCGACUACUUUCCACCAAAUAGUGAUAAGUUGGCUGCUCUUUUGUGUCUAUUUGCGCAACUGUGUGAUGGUGCCAAUGGAGUCAAAUGUAUAUAAUGCUCAGCGGUGGCAGACACUAGCCCGGCUUGGGCAAGGGCGCAACUGCUGAUGACCGCGGGUGGGUGGACAAUGGAGGCUGUUGACCAUCAGCAGCUACGAGUUCAAGUUGUCAUCAUAGGCUCCUCAGUUUUUACUCUCCUGCUUGUGCUAAGGAUAACUCGAUUUCUUGAUUCUAUCUCAGGAAAACAACCCCAACCUUAAAAUUAUAAUGGCAUCCCACACUGUACUUUCCUGAAUCAUGUCGUAUGCAAGGACUCCCUUAAAUAUUACUCCCUCUGAAUUACAUGCGCAGACCUUCUGGAUGGUUGGCUUGGUUGUCCGGAUCAGCUUUAUAUGGGGAAACCAUAUUCCAACAGUAAAAUUGAUAAAAUUGAAGUAGCAAGGUAUUUCUUUGCUUAUUUGGUUGCUUCUCUUUCUACAACUUUCUUACUGAAGGAACAUAACAGAAGGCCUUACUGUUACGGCAAUGGUAUUUGAUUAAGUAUAUCACCAUCAUCAUCAUCAUGCUGCUAAAUUCGUAGUCUUGAACUUUGAUUGUUUGUUAUACGGUAUAGAAUAGUGAAGUCAAACAGUUAAUUCAGCACUGCUCCUCCACGUUAGAAUUAACCAUUGGGGCUUUUGAUAGAGGUGAUUUUGUUUAGAUAAUUAGUCUAGGGAGUAACCUUUUGAUCGAUAAGGCACAUGUUUAUUUGCUUUUUCAUUCAGCGAUACACUAAAGUAACCAUCACCAUCAGCUAAAAGUAGGCAUACAAAACAUGAAAAUUUUGCCUUGGAUGUAUGCCUCACUUAGCUGUCGCUCAUUUAUUUCAAGGAAGUUAUUCGUCGAGCUUUCUUAUGCUUCCAGUUUCUAAAUAUGAAAUUUAAUACAAUAUAUUAAUAUCUGAGGAGGUGAGAGAAGAAGAAAAGAGGGGCUGUCAGGUCGGAUUUAUGUGCUAUAUUCAUUUUAAUUUGUUGAGCAAUAUUCCACCGGCAUUUCUUAAGAGCUAAAACUGAACCAGAAUUCCAAGUUUAGGGGUGCAACAAUUCAGUUUAAACAUCCAAUAUCCGGCUGUUUUACAUAGCUAGCUGCAGCCAAUGCGAAGCCUUUACCUUUGGGAACUACUUCUUACUGCGUGCCCUGACUAAACUGAACUAGAUCACUUGUAUAUCUCUGAACUAAAAUACACCCAAGUUCCUAUUUCUGCUAGAACUGAAUAUAUAUGGUUGCCUUGUGACUUUCUUCUUUUAUGUUGUGUGCAAUCUCCAAUCAAUAUCUUUUUUGCAUUUCACAACGAUAUCUCUUCUGCUCAAUUUUUAUGCUACAUUUCGCCUCUAUAGUCAACCUGAACAGACCUGAUCCAAAGGAAUUGUACUACAUACAAGGUGUGUCUGAACAUCGUUUUAAAGAUAGUGUUGCCUUGUGAAAGCAACAUUCUUUUUGUUUCAUGGUUCAAUAGAGGUCUCAUAGUGAACUACAACACUAGGUUGCAGUAUAAUGUCAGCUGAUUGCAACAUCCUGAGUUACUUUAGAAGUUUUCAUCUGGAAACUUGAUUUUCUUUUGACAUUCAUUGCACAUGUAGUCUGAUUUGUGCACAAGGAAGCUCACAAAUUUGUCUCCAUCUUUUUCGUAGUAAUCAUAUGGCUUGCAUAUUUUAUCAGACUGACCAUAGUCACGAAGAUCAGACUAAUAAUAUUUGGUAGAGAAGAUCAGAAGAAACAUUUAUAUCAUAUUUUUGUAUGCUUUUUCUGUAGAAAAGGUACCAUGGAUUGAUUGUGUUGGAUCCCAUUACUAUAUGAUGUAUUUGACUGCUAUUCCUAAAGACUACUCCUGGACAGAGUGUUCUAUGUUGACAUGUCUUACAUUCUAUUGUGUCGCCUAUCUGUAUAGUUACUCGGAUCUUACAUUUUUGUAUUUUUGUCGAUGCAGGUGUGUUCUUCCUACUAUAAAGCAACAUGGAUUUAUUUAAAUUAAAUUGUGCAUAUUUUGGAAAAUAAAUCUUGUGUGUCUAUAGUCAUGUUCAUGUAUGUUCUGAACUGAGACAAAUAUUCUUCAUUGUCUAUGCUUUUUCCUUCUGUUAAUGAUGAUAGUGAAGUUCUCCAUCUUAUUACUUCCUUACCCAUUCACUUGAAAUAUUGCCUAAAUAUUAUUAUUUUUGUAGUUGGUUUAGCAGCCUGACUUAGAUCUUCUACAUUGCCCAUAGAGAAUCUUCAAAAGUGUAGUCAUAUAUGUCACUUGAUAAAUUCCAGGACAUAUCUAUACUGCUCC
This is a long non-coding RNA of Triticum dicoccoides, 4120 nucleotides long. RefSeq lists it as uncharacterized. The record is from RefSeq and is a predicted model, not a curated record. NCBI's taxonomy places the organism in Eukaryota, Viridiplantae, Streptophyta, Magnoliopsida, Poales, Poaceae. The transcript has 2 exons.